Molecule: long non-coding RNA, 122 nt
Organism: Hibiscus syriacus
Lineage: Eukaryota; Viridiplantae; Streptophyta; Magnoliopsida; Malvales; Malvaceae
Exons: 2
Source: RefSeq, a predicted model, not a curated record
GGGAAGGAUGCCCCCCAAUGUGACAAGUUUGCAAGGCAUUUCCGGUCCCUGUGUCCCGACGAAUGGAUUGAAAGGUGGGAUGAAGCGAGAGCCACCGGAACCUUCCCUGCCAUAUGAACACC